GGGCCGCUAGCUCAGCUGGCAGAGCAACGCCCUUUUAAGGCGUGGGUCACUGGUUCGAACCCAGUGCGGCUCA
Spirochaetaceae bacterium 4572_59 is the source of this 73-nucleotide non-coding RNA. Lineage: Bacteria; Pseudomonadati; Spirochaetota; Spirochaetia; Spirochaetales; Spirochaetaceae. The record is from Rfam.